This 379-nucleotide unclassified non-coding RNA is filed under the name Hevea brasiliensis (rubber tree). Lineage: Eukaryota; Viridiplantae; Streptophyta; Magnoliopsida; Malpighiales; Euphorbiaceae. The record is from RNAcentral.
UAAAAGCAAUGGGAUGCCCCUCCUGUUGUAGGACAGCCCCCAUACCAGUCCCAUACCAGUCCCACUUGCAUCAGUUUCUAUUAUGAAUGGUUUAGAGAAAUUAGGCAAGGCCAAUAUUGGAGCUUGUGACAUAGCAACUCUAAGGUGCUCAAAGGCCUGUUGUGCCUUAUCAUCCCAAAGAAAAGCAUCCUUUUUUAGCAUGUCAGUAAGUGAUUUGCUAAUUAAUCAAUAAUGAUGCAUAAAUUUUCUAUAGUACCUAGUCAACCCCGAAAAACUCCUCAAUUCCUUCACAGAUUUUGGAACUGGCCAAGAUACCAUUGCUUGUGUCUUUGCUGGAUUAAUAGACACUCCCUUUCCAGAAAUAAUAUGCCCCAAAUAA